RNAcentral lists this ribosomal RNA (292 nucleotides) under uncultured bacterium. RNAcentral describes it as "partial 16S ribosomal RNA". It matches the Rfam family "Bacterial small subunit ribosomal RNA", at positions 505 to 796 of the family's 1533-position model. The record is from RNAcentral.
GUGCCAGCAGCCGCGGUAAGACGUAGGGAGCGAGCGUUGUCCGGAUUCAUUGGGCGUAAAGAGCGCGUAGGCGGCUACGCAAGUCGGAUGUGAAAACUCGGGGCUCAACCCCGAGCCUGCAUCCGAUACUGCGUGGCUAGAGGUAGGUAGGGGAGAUCGGAAUUCCUGGUGUAGCGGUGAAAUGCGCAGAUAUCAGGAGGAACACCGGUGGCGAAGGCGGAUCUCUGGGCCUUACCUGACGCUCAGGCGCGAAAGCUAGGGGAGCGAACAGGAUUAGAAACCCCUGUAGUCC